CAUACGGGAGGCUGCAGUAGGGAAUCUUCCACAAUGGGCGAAAGCCUGAUGGAGCAACGCCGCGUGGGUGAAGAAGGUCUUCGGAUCGUAAAACCCUGUUGUUAGAGAAGAAAGUGCGUGAGAGUAACUGUUCACGUUUCGACGGUAUCUAACCAGAAAGCCACGGCUAACUACGUGCCAGCAGCCGCGGUAAUACGUAGGUGGCAAGCGUUAUCCGGAUUUAUGGGGCGUAAAGGGAACGCAGGCGGUCUUUUAAGUCUGAUGUGAAAGCCUUCGGCUUAACCGGAGUAGUGCAUUGGAAACUGGGAGACUUGAGUGCAGAAGAGGAGAGUGGAACUCCAUGUGUAGCGGUGAAAUGCGUAGAUAUAUGGAAGAACACCAGUGGCGAAAGCGGCUCUCUGGUCUGUAACUGACGCUGAGGUUCGAAAGCGUGGGUAGCAAACAGGAUUAGAUACCCGUGUAGUC
Molecule: ribosomal RNA, 465 nt
Filed under: uncultured bacterium
Lineage: Bacteria
Description: partial 16S ribosomal RNA
Rfam family: Bacterial small subunit ribosomal RNA
Source: RNAcentral